Molecule: ribosomal RNA, 414 nt
Filed under: uncultured bacterium
Lineage: Bacteria
Description: bacterial SSU rRNA
Rfam family: Bacterial small subunit ribosomal RNA
Source: RNAcentral
UGGGGAAUAUUGCGCAAUGGGGGAAACCCUGACGCAGCAACGCCGCGUGCGGGAUGAAGGCUUUCGGGUUGUAAACCGCUUUCAGCAGGGAAGAUAAUGACGGUACCUGCAGAAGAAGCCCCGGCUAACUACGUGCCAGCAGCCGCGGUAAUACGUAGGGGGCAAGCGUUAUCCGGAUUCAUUGGGCGUAAAGCGCGCGCAGGCGGGCCGCUAAGCGGGACCUCUAAUCUUGGGGCUCAACCUCAAGCCGGGUCCCGAACUGGCAGCCUCGAGUGCGGUAGGGGUAAGCGGAAUUCCCGGUGUAGCGGUGGAAUGCGCAGAUAUCGGGAAGAACACCGAUGGCGAAGGCAGCUUACUGGGCCGACACUGACGCUGAGGCGCGAAAGCUAGGGGAGCGAACAGGAUUAGAUACCC